GCCCUGGUGGUCUAGUGGUAUGAUUGUCGCUUCGGGUGGAAUUCCCCAUCACGUGAACGUGGAUGUGACAGGUCCCGGGUUCAAAUCCCGGCUAGGGCC
RNAcentral lists this transfer RNA (99 nucleotides) under Cephalotrichum gorgonifer. RNAcentral's name for it is "transfer RNA-Pro(CGG)". It matches the Rfam family "tRNA". From Rfam's summary of the family: Transfer RNA (tRNA) molecules are approximately 80 nucleotides in length. Their secondary structure includes four short double-helical elements and three loops (D, anti-codon, and T loops). The record is from RNAcentral. Lineage: Eukaryota; Fungi; Ascomycota; Sordariomycetes; Microascales; Microascaceae.